CGUAAAGAGCUCGUAGGCGGCUUGUCACGUCGGAUGUGAAAGCCCGGGGCUUAACCCCGGGUCUGCAUUCGAUACGGGCUAGCUAGAGUGUGGUAGGGGAGAUCGGGAAUUCCUGGUGUAGCGGUGAAAUGCGCAGAUUAUCAGGAGGAACACCCGGUGGCGAAGGCGGAUCUCUGGGCCAAUUACUGACGCUGAGGAGCGAAAGCGUGGGGGAGCGAACAGGAUUAGAUACCCUGGUAGUCCACGCCGUAAAACGUUGGGGAACUAGGUGUUGGCGACAUUCCACGUCGUCGGGUGCCG
This 300-nucleotide ribosomal RNA is filed under the name Streptomyces sp. AC275. Its description in RNAcentral is "bacterial SSU rRNA". It matches the Rfam family "Bacterial small subunit ribosomal RNA", at positions 559 to 848 of the family's 1533-position model. The record is from RNAcentral. Lineage: Bacteria; Bacillati; Actinomycetota; Actinomycetes; Kitasatosporales; Streptomycetaceae.